RNAcentral lists this ribosomal RNA (535 nucleotides) under uncultured bacterium. RNAcentral's name for it is "partial 16S ribosomal RNA". It matches the Rfam family "Bacterial small subunit ribosomal RNA", at positions 355 to 899 of the family's 1533-position model. The record is from RNAcentral.
UGGGGAAUAUUGCACAAUGGGCGCAAGCCUGAUGCAGCAACGCCGCGUGAGGGAUGACGGCCUUCGGGUUGUAAACCUCUUUUAGCAGGGAAGAAGCGAAAGUGACGGUACCUGCAGAAAAAGUACCGGCUAACUACGUGCCAGCAGCCGCGGUAAUACGUAGGGUGCAAGCGUUGUCCGGAAUUAUUGGGCGUAAAGAGCUCGUAGGCGGUCUGUCGCGUCUGCUGUGAAAUCCCCGAGGCUCAACCUCGGGCCUGCAGUGGGUACGGGCAGACUAGAGUGCGGUAGGGGAGAAUGGAACUCCUGGUGUAGCGGUGGAAUGCGCAGAUAUCAGGAAGAACACCGAUGGCGAAGGCAGUUCUCUGGGCCGUAACUGACGCUGAGGAGCGAAAGCGUGGGGAGCGAACAGGAUUAGAUACCCUGGUAGUCCACGCCGUAAACGUUGGGCGCUAGAUGUGGGGACCAUUCCACGGUUUCCGUGUCGCAGCUAACGCAUUAAGCGCCCCGCCUGGGGAGUACGGCCGCAAGGCUAAAA